RNAcentral lists this ribosomal RNA (434 nucleotides) under uncultured bacterium. RNAcentral's name for it is "partial 16S ribosomal RNA". It matches the Rfam family "Bacterial small subunit ribosomal RNA", at positions 29 to 507 of the family's 1533-position model. The record is from RNAcentral.
AGCGAACGCUGGCGGCAGGCCUAACACAUGCAAGUCGAACGAACCUUUCGGGGUUAGUGGCGGACGGGUGAGUAACACGUGGGAACGUGCCUUUAGGUUCGGAAUAACUCAGGGAAACUUGUGCUAAUACCGAAUGUGCCCUUCGGGGGAAAGAUUAAUCGCCUUUAGAGCGGCCCGCGUCUGAUUAGCUAGUUGGUUGAGGUAAUGGCUCACCAAGGCGACGAUCAGUAGCUGGUCUGAGAGGAUGAUCAGCCACAUUGGGACUGAGACACGGCCCAAACUUCUACGGGAGGCAGCAGUGGGGAAUCUUGCGCAAUGGGCGAAAGCCUGACGCAGCCAUGCCGCGUGAAUGAUGAAGGUCUUAGGAUUGUAAAAUUCUUUCACCGGGGACGAUAAUGACGGUACCCGGAGAAGAAGCCCCGGCUAACUUCGUG